This 73-nucleotide transfer RNA is filed under the name Candidatus Woesearchaeota archaeon. RNAcentral describes it as "tRNA-Cys". It matches the Rfam family "tRNA". From Rfam's summary of the family: Transfer RNA (tRNA) molecules are approximately 80 nucleotides in length. Their secondary structure includes four short double-helical elements and three loops (D, anti-codon, and T loops). Further hydrogen bonds mediate the characteristic L-shaped molecular structure. tRNAs have two regions of fundamental functional importance: the anti-codon, which is responsible for specific mRNA codon recognition, and the 3' end, to which the tRNAs corresponding amino acid is attached (by aminoacyl-tRNA synthetases). tRNAs cope with the degeneracy of the genetic code in two manners: having more than one tRNA (with a specific anti-codon) for a particular amino acid; and 'wobble' base-pairing, i.e. permitting non-standard base-pairing at the 3rd anti-codon position. Lineage: Archaea; Nanobdellati; Candidatus Woesearchaeota. The record is from RNAcentral.
GCAGAGGUAGCCAAGCGGCUAAGGCAGCAGGCUGCAACCCUGCGAUUCGAGGGUUCGAGUCCCUCCCUCUGCU